GUGGCGAAAGCAUUUCUUCAUUAAAGUGCUGUUAAAUUCCUCCUUACAGGUAGGUUGAGUCUCUAAGGGAUGGUUACUUCUUAAAAAGAUGAGGUGUAGAUGUUUUCACCAUUGUAUCCUCAGUCUGAUGAAAAUAAUGCCUUUCAAAAUCGGCGUUUUGCGUACAGGACAAGGAGUGCAUCUCUGUCAGUGCCAAUGAACUCUAUGGAUUCAUUUGGAAAUGAUAGUAUCUUGGUAGGCUAUAGUGGUUCUUUGAAAAUCGAGAGACAAACUUCGUUGGUUCACAUGUGAUACGAGUACGAUCAUGACCUUGGACACUUUUUGAGUAUUUUGAAGACCACUUAGAAGAGUGCAUAAGCCCAAGUGUGAAGGAGGCCCAAAACCAUCCUUUUGGUGCACUUAAGGGGCUGCUUUUGGAGCCCUUUCAUGAAAGGGCUUUUUUGUCAUUUCUUUAUUAUUUGUAAUGUUGUAUAAAUAGAACCUUGUAGGAUUUAUUUCCUUAGUUUUUGAAUGUUAUUGAAAGAAACUCCUCUAGAGAGAGUGAGAGCAACCGUAACUAGGGUGAUACUAGUGUGGAAUCACUGGUGUUGCAAAACGUUGUUAGAAACCUUGGUGCUUUAGAGGUGGACGCCCUCUUGUGUCAUCGUGGAGUGUUGGUGUUGAUAUUAGGAGUGUUAAGGGUCUUGGUAUUGAAUAUAUACCUUGGUUCUUAUUGUUUGUAAUAUUGUAUGUCACAGUUCCUAUCUUUUGUUCCUGUAAUCAUUGUACUAGUUUGUAGUUGUUUCUAGUGAAGCCGUGUGUUGUUGUUACAUUGUUCUUGUGUUCCAGUCCUAUUGUUAUCAUCUCGUUCUUCUGGUGUAGCUGCGGUUUUGGUGUUGAACACCUAGUAAUCUUGGGUUCUUGAGUUGUCAGCUUGUAGCUGUUUGGUCUCUUGUACCUUGUGGACUGUUUUGUGCGAUUUGUGGGCUGUUUUGGUGUCUUUCCUUGGUCGUUUUGUAUCAUUUGGUAUCAAAGCAAGGUUUAAUUUUGUUCCAACAAAAUCAAUCUUGGGAUUGUUAUAUUGAAAAUAAAAAAAAAAGGGUGAAAAAGAAGAAAACGAAAAAAGUUAUUGUUCACGUUUUUAGGGUUUUCGAAAAAACUUGAUUUUUGUGUGUUUUGUGUGUUUCUAGUGUUAGAUCCUUGUUCCCUAAUACUAUUAGAGUUUAUAAAUUGAAAAUCCCAACAAAAAAGAAGUGUCAAGAUCGAAAAUCCACCAAUAAAAUACUAAACCCAUUUUUGACCCUAGGUCAAAGUUUGAGUUUUUGAUUUUUUUUUUCUUGUGUUUUUAGUGUUAGAUUUGUGUUCUCUAACACUAUAGUCUAUAGGAGUAUAGGGUUCUAAUUUGAGCUAAAGUAGAGGUUAUUUGAGCCAUCCACCAUUAUUGAGCUUGAGUUUGAAGAAACUUGAAGGUGGGAUCUCAUUGUGGGAGUUUGUUUUGAACUAACGUGUUUUUUAUUUUGUAGGAUUUGUAUUGUAUUGUUGUGUGUGACGUUGUGGACUGAUUGGGUGUCUUGUUGAACCGUAACUUGAGUGGUUAUUUUCGGUACAACCACAAUGGAACCCGAGGCUUCAAAUGCUCAAACAAUGGACAAUAAUGCCAUCAAUCUCAUUUUGGCUCGCCUUGAAACUAUGUCCCGAGAUGUGGCUAGGUUGAAUGUGUCUUGAGAAACUAGAUACGGAUGUGGCAUCAGAAAUCCAAAGGAGUCGACCUUCUACCCCUCAAAAAAGUUCCCCAACUAAUACUCCCGAGACCUUGCACCAAAUGCUAUAUCCACCAAUUGCCACAAAUCCAACCAAUCUUUAAUCCCGAAGCCGAAGCCGAGAACAAGAUAGACCAAACCAUCCUCCACUCCACCAAGUCCAACAAGAAAGGUUGGAACCCAAAUACCACCACCAAACCCGAACCCUCUUAUCCAAACUCCACUUGACCAAAGACCUCACUAUCCAAAUCCAAUCCCGCCACUAUAAGCUCCACUUAACCCAAAUAGACCCUUCUAUGUUGAAGGCUAUGUUAGGGGAGGACAACAUGAUGGUUAUGGGUUGUAUGAUGAUGUUUACUUGAGGGAAGGAAGAAUGAAGGGUAAACAUGGGGAGUUAGGCCGAGAGAUGAGAGAUGGCUAUCCAAAUCGAGAUGUAGGUCUCAAUUCCAUCAAAGUGAGCCUUCCCGUUUUCAAAGGUGAGAGUGAUCCCGAAGCCUACCUUGCAUGGAAGUCGUCUUAUGACAAGAUCUUCCAACUUAAUGAUCUCACCGAAGAAAAGAAAUGUUGCUAUGCUAUAGCUUACUUCGAAGCGUAUGCUAAUACAUGGUGGGAGUAUUUUAAACGGUUUGGGAAUGAGAUGAUUGGGGGACAAGCUCCUCCUUGGUUUCGGUUGAAGAACCUUAUGCGGCAAAGAUACUUGCCCGAGACUUAUAGACAUGAGCUCCUUGCCAAAUUGUACAAUUUGAGGCAAGGGAGCAAGAGUGUCAUGGCUUACUACGACGAAUUUCAACAAUUGAUGUUGAAACUAGAUCACCGGGGAGAACAAGUGAGUCAUGACAUCGUGCGCUUCAAAGUCGAGUUGAACAAGGACAUCUCCACUCAUAUGACACUUCAUAAGUUCGACACCAUUGAUGGCAUCUUCCAAGCGGCAUUGGAGGUUGAAAGGGAGCUCAAAAAGAGCUUAUCCAUGGUUGUCCAAACUGAGAGCAUCAAGGCUGCCCCAAAACAGUCCACUAGGUAUGAAGGUAAACCAAUUUCAACUUCCAAUUCUAAGGGAUUUCAAUGCUUCAAAUGCCAAGGGUGGGGGUACAAGGCUAGUGAGUGCCCAAACCGGAGGAACGUGAUCCUAAGGGAGGGAAAAUUAUACUAUCUUGGGGAAGAAGUAGUAAUUGAAUCAGCUAAGGUUGAUGGGAAGCCUCAAGAUAGAGAGCAAGAAGAGGUUAAAAUGCAAAGCGGGGAAGAUGUAGAAGAUGUGUGGCCGUGUGAAGGAGAUUGUGAAGUGCCAUUGUAAAAGAGGUGAGGUCAUGAAUUUGUAGGCAAAUUCCUAUCAAGAUGGAGAGGAUGAUACGAGUACUAUCAUGACCUUGGAAACUUUUUGAGUAUUUUGGAAACCACUUAGAAGAGUGCAUAAGUCCAAGUGUGAAGGAGGCCCAAAACCAUCCUUUUGGUGCACUUAAGGGGCUGCUUUUGGAGCCCUUUAAUGAAAGGGUUCUUUUGUUAUUUCUCUAUUAUUUGUAAUGUUGUAUAAAUAGAACUUUCUAGGGUUUAUUUCCUUAGUUUUUGAUUAUUAUUGAAAGAAACUCCUUUAGAGAGAGUGAGAGCAACCGUAAUUAGGGUGAUACUAGUGUGGAAUCACUAGUGUUGCAAAACGUUGUUAUAAACCUUGGUGCUUUAGAGGUGGACGCCCUCUUGUGUCAUCGUAGAGUGUUGGAAUUGAUAUUACAAGUGUUAAGGGUCUUGGUAUUGAAUAUAUACCUUGGUUCUUAUUGUUUGUAAUAUUGUAUGUCAUACUUCCUAUCUUUUGUUCCUGUAAUAGUUGUACUAGUUUGUAGUUGUUUCUAGUGAAGCUGUGUGGUGUUGUUACAUUGUUCUUGUGUUCCAGUCCUAUUGUUAUCAUCUUGUUCUUCUGGUGUAGUAGCUGUUGUUUUGGUGUUGAACACCUAGUAAUCUUGGGUUCUUGAGUUGUCAUCUUAUAGCCGUUUGGUCUCUUGUACCUUGUGGACUGUUUUGUGCGAUUUGUGGGCUGUUUUGGUGUCUUUCCUU
RNAcentral lists this long non-coding RNA (3782 nucleotides) under Capsicum annuum. RNAcentral describes it as "long non-coding RNA (CANN_LNC021663)". Lineage: Eukaryota; Viridiplantae; Streptophyta; Magnoliopsida; Solanales; Solanaceae. The record is from RNAcentral.